This 373-nucleotide unclassified non-coding RNA is filed under the name uncultured Sphingobacteriales bacterium. RNAcentral's name for it is "contains 16S-23S intergenic spacer region". Lineage: Bacteria; Pseudomonadati; Bacteroidota; Sphingobacteriia; Sphingobacteriales. The record is from RNAcentral.
UCACCGCUUGCGCGGGCAGUCUCAUUAGAGUCCUCAGCAUUACCUGGUAGCAACUAACGAUAGGGGUUGCGCUCGUUACGGGACUUAACCCAACACCUCACGGCACGAGCUGACGACAGCCAUGCAGCACCUAGUUUCGUGCCCUUGCGGGAAGGCCGAUUUCUCGGCCGGUCACUAACUUUCAAGCCCGGGUAAGGUUCCUCGCGUAUCAUCGAAUUAAACCACAUGCUCCUCCGCUUGUGCGGGCCCCCGUCAAUUCCUUUGAGUUUCAAUCUUGCGACCGUACUUCCCAGGUGGAUAACUUAAUGCUUUCGCUUAGACGCGUACAGUAUAUCGCACACAUCGAGUUAUCAACGUUUAGGGCGUGGACUAC